This 483-nucleotide ribosomal RNA is filed under the name uncultured bacterium. RNAcentral describes it as "partial 16S ribosomal RNA". It matches the Rfam family "Bacterial small subunit ribosomal RNA", at positions 30 to 507 of the family's 1533-position model. The record is from RNAcentral.
AUUGAACGCUGGCGGCAGGCCUAACACAUGCAAGUCGAGCGGAUGAAGGGAGCUUGCUCCUGGAUUCAGCGGCGGACGGGUGAGUAAUGCCUAGGAAUCUGCCUGGUAGUGGGGAAAACGUCCGGAAACGGGCGCUAAUAACGCAUUCGUCCUGAGGGAGAAAGUGGGGGAUCUUUGGAACUUCAGGCUUCCGAUGAACCUAGGUCGGAUUAGCUAGUUGGUGGGGUAAAGGCCUACCAAGGCGACGAUCCGUAACUGGUCUGAGAGGAUGAUCAGUCACACUGGAACUGAGACACGGUCCAGACUCCUACGGGAGGCAGCAGUGGGGAAUAUUGGACAAUGGGCGAAAGCCUGAUCCAGCCAUGCCGCGUGUGUGAAGAAGGUCUUCGGAUUGUAAAGCACUUUAAGUUGGGAGGAAGGGCAGUAAGUUAAUACCUUGCUGUUUUGACGUUACCAACAGAAUAAGCACCGGCUAACUUCGUG